UUCCCCUAGUAACUGCGAGUGAAGCGGGAAAAGCUCAAAUUUAAAAUCUGGCAGCCUUUGGUUGUCCGAGUUGUAGUCUGGAGAAGCGUCUUCCGCGCUGGACCGUGUACAAGUCCCUUGGAAUAGGGCGUCAUAGAGGGUGAGAAUCCCGUCUUUGACACGGACUCCCAGUGCUUUGUGAUGCGCUCUCAAAGAGUCGAGUUGUUUGGGAAUGCAGCUCAAAAUGGGUGGUAAAUUCCAUCUAAAGCUAAAUAUUGGCGAGAGACCGAUAGCGAACAAGUACCGUGAGGGAAAGAUGAAAAGCACUUUGGAAAGAGAGUUAAACAGUACGUGAAAUUGCUGAAAGGGAAACGCUUGAAGUCAGUCGCGUCAUGCAGAACUCAGCCUGGCUUUUGCUCGGUGUAUUUUCUGCAUGACGGGCCAGCAUCAGUUUUGGUCGCUGGAAAAAGUCUCCAGGAAUGUGGCACCUUCGGGUGUGUUAUAGCCUGGAGUCGUAUACAGCGGCAGGGACUGAGGAUCGCAGCGCGCCUUUAUGGCUGGGGUUCGCCCACAUUCGCGCUUAGGAUGCUGGCGUAAUGGCUUUAAACGACCCGUCUUGAAACACGGACCAAGGAGUCUAACACACCUGCGAGUGUUUGGGUGGAAAACCCGAGCGCGCAAUGAAAGUGAAAGUUGGGAUCCCUGUCGUGGGGAGCACCGACGCCCGGACCAGACCUUCUGUGACGGCUCCGCGGUAGAGCAUGUGUGU
RNAcentral lists this ribosomal RNA (748 nucleotides) under Somion unicolor. RNAcentral's name for it is "eukaryotic LSU rRNA". It matches the Rfam family "Eukaryotic large subunit ribosomal RNA", at positions 75 to 809 of the family's 3401-position model. Lineage: Eukaryota; Fungi; Basidiomycota; Agaricomycetes; Polyporales; Cerrenaceae. The record is from RNAcentral.